GGAAUAUUGGUCAAUGGGCGGUAGCCUGAACCAGCCAAGUAGCGUGCAGGAUGACGGCCCUACGGGUUGUAAACUGCUUUUGUGCGGGAAUAACGGUCUUUACGUGUAGAGAUGUGCAUGUACCGUACGAAUAAGGAUCGGCUAACUCCGUGCCAGCAGCCGCGGUAAUACGGAGGAUCCGAGCGUUAUCCGGAUUUAUUGGGUUUAAAGGGAGCGUAGGCGGGAGAUCAAGUCAGCUGUGAAAUGUAGAUGCUCAACAUCUGCACUGCAGUUGAAACUGGUUUUCUUGAGUGCGUAAGGGGCAGGCGGAAUUCGUCGUGUAGCGGUGAAAUGCUUAGAUAAGACGAAGAACUCCGAUCGCGAAGGCAGCCUGCCGGGCCGCGACUGACGCUGAAGCUCGAAGGUGCGGGUAUCGAACA
This 419-nucleotide ribosomal RNA is filed under the name uncultured bacterium. Its description in RNAcentral is "bacterial SSU rRNA". It matches the Rfam family "Bacterial small subunit ribosomal RNA", at positions 358 to 774 of the family's 1533-position model. The record is from RNAcentral.